RNAcentral lists this long non-coding RNA (285 nucleotides) under Apteryx owenii (little spotted kiwi). RNAcentral's name for it is "lncRNA (ENSAOWG00000001636.1)". The record is from RNAcentral. Lineage: Eukaryota; Metazoa; Chordata; Aves; Apterygiformes; Apterygidae.
AUUUUGACUUGUUUCAAUUUAUUGCACAAUUAUGUUACAUGCAGCAUUCAUCUAUGAAUAUUCUUUUUCAGUAGAACAGCGAGUUGGCAACAGAUCUGCUGUGAAAGUUGUGAUACUUUAAAGGACAAAUAUUCUGCUGUGCUUUUCAAAACUUCAAAACAGCACUCUUUCCUUGUCUCCCUAGAGUCAUCUGAAGCUUGCCACGAUGCAGACCUAGAGCUGAAUUUUGCCUGGAAUUUAGGUUCCAGCCUAUAUUCAAAGUAUGGUGAAAGGGAAGAACAGUGA